CUGCUGCCUUCCGUAGGAGUUUGGACCGUGUCUCAGUUCCAGUGUGGGGGACCUUCCUCUCAGAACCCCUACGCAUCGUCGCCACGGUGGGCCGUUACCCCGCCGUCUAGCUAAUGCGCCGCAUGCCCAUCCUCUUCCGAUGAAUCUUUCCUCGAUCUCGGAUGCCCGAAACCGAUAUACGCGGGAUUAGCCUCCCUUUCGGAAGGUUGUCCCCCUGAAGAGGGCAGGUUGCAUACGUGUUACUCACCCGUGCGCCGGUCGCCGGACG
This 268-nucleotide ribosomal RNA is filed under the name uncultured bacterium. RNAcentral's name for it is "partial 16S ribosomal RNA". The record is from RNAcentral.